RNAcentral lists this ribosomal RNA (492 nucleotides) under uncultured bacterium. RNAcentral describes it as "partial 16S ribosomal RNA". It matches the Rfam family "Bacterial small subunit ribosomal RNA", at positions 29 to 507 of the family's 1533-position model. The record is from RNAcentral.
AGUGAACGCUGGCGGUAGGCCUAACACAUGCAAGUCGAACGGCAACACAGUAAGAGCUUGCUCUUAUGGGGUGGGAGUGGCGUGCGGGUGAGGUAAAUACCGGAAUCUUCUUUUUCGUGGGGGUUAAAGUAGGGAAACCUACUCCCAUAUCGCAUACGCCCCUCCGGUGUAAGGAGGGGAUCUUUUGACCUUGUGCGGAUGGAUUAGCCGCUGUCGGAUUAGCUAGUUGGCGGGGUAAAGGCCCACCAAGGCGACGAUCCGUAGCUGGUCGGAGAGGAUGAUCAGCCACACUGGAACUGAGACACGGUCCAGACUCCUACGGGAGGCAGCAGUGGGGAAUAUUGGACAAUGGGCGCAAGCCUGAUCCAGCCAUACCGCGUGGGUGAAGAAGGCCUUCGGGUUGUAAAGCCCUUUUGUUGGGAAAGAAAAGCAGCAGGUUAAUACCCCGCUGUUCUGACGGUACCCAAAGAAUAAGCACCGGCUAACUUCGUG